AGGACGAACGCUGGCGGCGUGCUUAACACAUGCAAGUCGAGCGGUAAGGCUCCUUCGGGAGUACACGAGCGGCGAACGGGUGAGUAACACGUGAGCAAUCCGCCCUUCACAUCGGAAUAACCUCGGGAAACCGAGGCUAAUACCGGAUACGACCAUCGGUGGCAUCAUCUGAUGGUGGAAAGUUCCGGCGGUGGAGGAUGAGCUCGCGGCCUAUCAGCUUGUUGGUGGGGUAAUGGCCUACCAAGGCGACGACGGGUA
RNAcentral lists this ribosomal RNA (258 nucleotides) under uncultured bacterium. RNAcentral describes it as "partial small subunit ribosomal RNA". It matches the Rfam family "Bacterial small subunit ribosomal RNA", at positions 26 to 285 of the family's 1533-position model. The record is from RNAcentral.